UGAUUACAUCAUGAAGGAGGCUACUGAUUCUGGCCCUGUGACACUUGGUGGUGACGUGUGAGCUGAUUCACCUGGACACUCAGCAAAAUAUGGACUACACCAUGAGGCAGGCACACGUUAAUACUCUAUAAGAGCACAUAAGCCUGGCUGAUCACCUGAUAACUCCUGUCAUCUGGUUAUGACAGCAUGAGGAUGUCCUCACACACCUGUAACCUAUCAGCUCAUCUGGCAGAAGAGAGAGAGAAGAGACAACACCACAUCUCCUGUUCCUGGAAAGCCUUCAGCCAUCCUUCAGUGACUGAGAACCUCCAUCAGCUCUGUCUCCUGUCUGCCUACAAUUAUUAUAAUAAAUAAUGUGUUUGACAAGUUUUUUGUGCUGCCAAAUAUCUCAUUUUGAUUCCAGUUUUGAUAUUUUAAUGGAUAUUUAUAAAUUACAUUAUUUGAAUUAUCACAUUGUUGCAUGUUUAACUAGCUCUAUUGUGAUGAAUUAAACUAGCACCUCACUGUUAAAAGCUCAUUUUAAUUUCAAUCAUGUUUAAGUAUUUAUGGACAUGAACAAAAACAGGAAAUGUAUAAAUUGAGAUUUAUUUAAUUAAUAUAACAAA
Nothobranchius furzeri (turquoise killifish) is the source of this 605-nucleotide long non-coding RNA. RefSeq lists it as uncharacterized. The record is from RefSeq and is a predicted model, not a curated record. NCBI's taxonomy places the organism in Eukaryota, Metazoa, Chordata, Actinopteri, Cyprinodontiformes, Nothobranchiidae.